UGGGGAAUAUUGGGCAAUGGGGGCAACCCUGACCCAGCGACGCCGCGUGGGGGAAGACGGCCUUCGGGUUGUAAACCUCUUUUGUACGGGAAGAAGGAAGUGACGGUACUGUACGAAUAAGUCCCGGCUAACUACGUGCC
RNAcentral lists this ribosomal RNA (140 nucleotides) under uncultured bacterium. RNAcentral describes it as "partial 16S ribosomal RNA". It matches the Rfam family "Bacterial small subunit ribosomal RNA", at positions 355 to 509 of the family's 1533-position model. The record is from RNAcentral.